RNAcentral lists this ribosomal RNA (330 nucleotides) under uncultured bacterium. RNAcentral describes it as "bacterial SSU rRNA". It matches the Rfam family "Bacterial small subunit ribosomal RNA", at positions 32 to 342 of the family's 1533-position model. The record is from RNAcentral.
AAUCAACGCUGGCGGCGUGCCUCAGACAUGCAAGUCGAACGCGAAAGUUCCCUUCGGGGAGCGAGUAGAGUGGCGCACGGGUGAGUAACACGUGGAUAAUUUACCUUCGGGUGGGGAAGUAACAACCGGAAACGGUUGCUAAUACCGCAUAAUGCAGCGGCAUCUAUGAUGACAGUUGUUAAAGCGGGGAGUCGCAAGACCUCGCGCCUGAAGAGAAGUCCGCGGCAGAUAGCUAGUUGGUAGGGUAAUGGCCUACCAAGGCGACGAUCUGUAGCCGGCCUGAGAGGGCGGUCGGCCACACUGACACUGACAUACGGGUCAGACUCCUAC